This 2922-nucleotide ribosomal RNA is filed under the name Campylobacter jejuni. RNAcentral describes it as "partial 23S ribosomal RNA". It matches the Rfam family "Bacterial large subunit ribosomal RNA". The record is from RNAcentral. Lineage: Bacteria; Pseudomonadati; Campylobacterota; Epsilonproteobacteria; Campylobacterales; Campylobacteraceae.
ACAUUACCUAUAUAGGAGCGAACGAGGGGAAUUGAAACAUCUUAGUACCCUCAGGAAAAGAAAUCAAUAGAGAUUGCGUCAGUAGCGGCGAGCGAAAGCGCAAGAGGGCAAACCCAGUGCUUGCACUGGGGGUUGUAGGACUGCAAUGUGCAAGAGGUAAGUUUAGCAGAACAUUCUGGAAAGUAUAACCAUAGAGGGUGAUAGUCCCGUAUGCGAAAAACAAACCUUAGCUAGCAGUAUCCUGAGUAGGGCGGGACACGAGGAAUCCUGUCUGAAUCCGGGUCGACCACGAUCCAACCCUAAAUACUAAUACCAGAUCGAUAGUGCACAAGUACCGUGAGGGAAAGGUGAAAAGAACUGAGGUGAUCAGAGUGAAAUAGAACCUGAAACCAUUUGCUUACAAUCAUUCAGAGCCCUAUGUAGCAAUACAGGGUGAUGGACUGCCUUUUGCAUAAUGAGCCUGCGAGUUGUGGUGUCUGGCAAGGUUAAGCAAACGCGAAGCCGUAGCGAAAGCGAGUCUGAAUAGGGCGCUUAGUCAGAUGCUGCAGACCCGAAACGAAGUGAUCUAUCCAUGAGCAAGUUGAAGCUAGUGUAAGAACUAGUGGAGGACUGAACCCAUAGGCGUUGAAAAGCCCCGGGAUGACUUGUGGAUAGGGGUGAAAGGCCAAUCAAACUUCGUGAUAGCUGGUUCUCUCCGAAAUAUAUUUAGGUAUAGCGUUGUGUCGUAAUAUAAGGGGGUAGAGCACUGAAUGGGCUAGGGCAUACACCAAUGUACCAAACCCUAUCAAACUCCGAAUACCUUAUAUGUAAUCACAGCAGUCAGGCGGCGAGUGAUAAAAUCCGUCGUCAAGAGGGAAACAACCCAGACUACCAGCUAAGGUCCCUAAAUCUUACUUAAGUGGAAAACGAUGUGAAGUUACUUAAACAACCAGGAGGUUGGCUUAGAAGCAGCCAUCCUUUAAAGAAAGCGUAAUAGCUCACUGGUCUAGUGAUUUUGCGCGGAAAAUAUAACGGGGCUAAAGUAAGUACCGAAGCUGUAGACUUGCACACAACUUAGAUUAUUUAAGUUUAGAAUAUGAGAAACUAAGUUAUAUGUUUAGUUAUAUUUUUACUGAUUUUUAUAGAGUAAAGAUAGAAAUAAAACUUAGUAAAAUCAGUAAAAAUAUUCUUAGACUAAAGUUAAGUAGUUUAAGUUGUGUGCAAGUGGUAGGAGAGCGUUCUAUUUGCGUCGAAGGUAUACCGGUAAGGAGUGCUGGAGCGAAUAGAAGUGAGCAUGCAGGCAUGAGUAGCGAUAAUUAAUGUGAGAAUCAUUAACGCCGUAAACCCAAGGUUUCCUACGCGAUGCUCGUCAUCGUAGGGUUAGUCGGGUCCUAAGUCGAGUCCGAAAGGGGUAGACGAUGGCAAAUUGGUUAAUAUUCCAAUACCAACAUUAGUGUGCGAUGGAAGGACGCUUAGGGCUAAGGGGGCUAGCGGAUGGAAGUGCUAGUCUAAGGUCGUAGGAGGUUAUACAGGCAAAUCCGUAUAACAAUACUCCGAGAACUGAAAGGCUUUUUGAAGUCUUCGGAUGGAUAGAAGAACCCCUGAUGCCGUCGAGCCAAGAAAAGUUUCUAAGUUUAGCUAAUGUUGCCCGUACCGUAAACCGACACAGGUGGGUGGGAUGAGUAUUCUAAGGCGCGUGGAAGAACUCUCUUUAAGGAACUCUGCAAAAUAGCACCGUAUCUUCGGUAUAAGGUGUGGUUAGCUUUGUAUUAGGAUUUACUCCGAAAGCAAGGAAACUUACAACAAAGAGUCCCUCCCGACUGUUUACCAAAAACACAGCACUCUGCUAACUCGUAAGAGGAUGUAUAGGGUGUGACGCCUGCCCGGUGCUCGAAGGUUAAUUGAUGGGGUUAGCAUUAGCGAAGCUCUUGAUCGAAGCCCGAGUAAACGGCGGCCGUAACUAUAACGGUCCUAAGGUAGCGAAAUUCCUUGUCGGUUAAAUACCGACCUGCAUGAAUGGCGUAACGAGAUGGGAGCUGUCUCAAAGAGGGAUCCAGUGAAAUUGUAGUGGAGGUGAAAAUUCCUCCUACCCGCGGCAAGACGGAAAGACCCCGUGGACCUUUACUACAGCUUGACACUGCUACUUGGAUAAGAAUGUGCAGGAUAGGUGGGAGGCUUUGAGUAUAUGACGCCAGUUGUAUAUGAGCCAUUGUUGAGAUACCACUCUUUCUUAUUUGGGUAGCUAACCAGCUUGAGUUAUCCUCAAGUGGGACAAUGUCUGGUGGGUAGUUUGACUGGGGCGGUCGCCUCCCAAAUAAUAACGGAGGCUUACAAAGGUUGGCUCAGAACGGUUGGAAAUCGUUCGUAGAGUAUAAAGGUAUAAGCCAGCUUAACUGCAAGACAUACAAGUCAAGCAGAGACGAAAGUCGGUCUUAGUGAUCCGGUGGUUCUGUGUGGAAGGGCCAUCGCUCAAAGGAUAAAAGGUACCCCGGGGAUAACAGGCUGAUCUCCCCCAAGAGCUCACAUCGACGGGGAGGUUUGGCACCUCGAUGUCGGCUCAUCGCAUCCUGGGGCUGGAGCAGGUCCCAAGGGUAUGGCUGUUCGCCAUUUAAAGCGGUACGCGAGCUGGGUUCAGAACGUCGUGAGACAGUUCGGUCCCUAUCUGCCGUGGGCGUAAGAAGAUUGAAGAGAUUUGACCCUAGUACGAGAGGACCGGGUUGAACAAACCACUGGUGUAGCUGUUGUUCUGCCAAGAGCAUCGCAGCGUAGCUAAGUUUGGAAAGGAUAAACGCUGAAAGCAUCUAAGCGUGAAGCCAACUCUAAGAUGAAUCUUCUCUAAGCUCUCUAGAAGACUACUAGUUUGAUAGGCUGGGUGUGUAAUGGAUGAAAGUCCUUUAGCUGACCAGUACUAAUAGAGCGUUUGGCUUAUCUUUAAUAAAGCAU